RNAcentral lists this unclassified non-coding RNA (398 nucleotides) under uncultured fungus. RNAcentral's name for it is "partial contains 5.8S ribosomal RNA and internal transcribed spacer 2". The stretch from base 1 to 133 matches the Rfam family "5.8S ribosomal RNA", at positions 22 to 154 of the family's 154-position model. Lineage: Eukaryota; Fungi. The record is from RNAcentral.
UGGCUCUCGCAUCGAUGAAGAACGCAGCGAAAUGCGAUAAGUAAUGUGAAUUGCAGAAUUCAGUGAAUCAUCGAAUCUUUGAACGCACCUUGCGCUCCUUGGUAUUCCGAGGAGCAUGCCUGUUUGAGUGUCAUGGAAUCAUCAACUUUGAUUUUUUCUUCAUUGAGAGGAUCAAAGCUUGGACUUGGAGGUGUUUAAAUGCUGGCCUUUCUGUGGGUCGGCUCCUCUUGAAUGCAUUAGCUUGAAACCUUUGCUGUAUCGGCUGUCCGGUGUGAUAAUUGUCUACGCCGUGGCUGUGAGGCUUUAAACUUGUGGGCUUCAGCUUCUAAUCGUCCCUUGAACGGGGGACAACAUCGUAAUUGACCUCUGACCUCAAAUCAGGUAGGAUUACCCGCUGA